This is an unclassified non-coding RNA of Pongo abelii (Sumatran orangutan), 117 nucleotides long. It matches the Rfam family "Metazoan signal recognition particle RNA". Rfam says of the family: The signal recognition particle (SRP) is a universally conserved ribonucleoprotein. It is involved in the co-translational targeting of proteins to membranes. Lineage: Eukaryota; Metazoa; Chordata; Mammalia; Primates; Hominidae. The record is from Ensembl.
GCUGGGCACGGUGGCUCAUGCCUGUAAUCCCAGCACUUUGGGAGGCCGAGGUGGGUGGAUCACCUGAGGUCAGGAGUUCAAGACCAGCCUGACCAACAUGGUGAAACCCCAUCUCUA